RNAcentral lists this ribosomal RNA (434 nucleotides) under uncultured bacterium. RNAcentral describes it as "partial 16S ribosomal RNA". It matches the Rfam family "Bacterial small subunit ribosomal RNA", at positions 29 to 507 of the family's 1533-position model. The record is from RNAcentral.
AGCGAACGCUGGCGGCAGGCCUAACACAUGCAAGUCGAACGAACCUUUCGGGGUUAGUGGCGGACGGGUGAGUAACACGUGGGAACGUGCCUUUAGGUUCGGAAUAACUCAGGGAAACUUGUGCUAAUACCGAAUGUGCCCUUCGGGGGAAAGAUUAAUCGCCUUUAGAGCGGCCCGCGUCUGAUUAGCUAGUUGGUUGAGGUAAUGGCUCACCAAGGCGACGAUCAGUAGCUGGUCUGAGAGGAUGAUCAGCCACAUUGGGACUGAGACACGGCCCAAACUCCUACGGGAGGCAGCAGUGGGGAAUCUUGCGCAAUGGGCGAAAGCCUGACGCAGCCAUGCCGCGUGAAAGAUGAAGGUCUUAGGAUUGUAAAAUUCUUUCACCGGGGACGAUAAUGACGGUACCCGGAGAAGAAGCCCCGGCUAACUUCGUG